UCCUCUCCUCACGCGUGGCCGUGGCCGUGGGAAUACAUCAGCGGCCACAAACAGCGGCCGCCGCAUCUCACGAGGGGUGGGUGAUGGCGCCAUCGAUCGGAAUGGGAAGGGGGGACGGACGAUGGUUGUGCCGCGCGGGCGAUCGAUCGCAGCCGAGGAGAUGAGACGGCCGAUCCAUCGAGGUGGACGCAGCCGAGGAGAUGAGACGGCCGAGAACGAUGGAUGAGAUCCUCGAUCGGCCGUCUCAUCCCAUCCAUCCUUCUAAUUCCCUAGGUUUGGAUCUUCUUAUCGUUCCCCUUCUCUCAUGGUGUUUUUGGUUGGAGCUUUCGCCGAUUCGCAAAAUUUGGUUGGGAUCCCCCUGUUUUUUCCGGUCGUGGAAGGUUGCUGACAGCCAAACCUCGCACUACACUAGUACAGGAACAGAACAAAACAAGACCAAAUCCAUGUUUUUUGGUUCCUACUCGUAGCAUUUGGUUACAGAAUCCGGCCGGCGGCCAAAUCAUCCGUUUGGUCUCAAACCCUGCCAGCUAGGCUUUCGCGGUAUUCAGCCAAAUCUUUCUUUUGGUCUCAUACGCACGCACACUUCCAGCGCGCCCAUACAGAAAAUUACACUUCCAGCGACCAGCGCUCCCAUCCAGAAAAUUACACUUGCAGCGCUCCUAUCCAAAAAAUUACACUUCCAGCGCAGUUUUCCAUCUUACAAAAAGAUCAGGUGUUUUGCACCGCCAAAUCUUUCGUUUGGUUUCUUACGCGCAGUUUACCAACCAGUGUUUUGCACCGUCAAAAAAUACCCAGUGCUCUCGUCAGUUCCAUGCAUGCUACUGAAUUUCCCAAAAACGUUGCUUCCAUCCUCCUCCUUGCUUGCAAUCUCCUUGCCCUGCCUCCACCACCACCAGUCUCCUUGCUUCCUGCAAAAUAUGUCAAACCAAUGCAUGUAAAGCAGAUCGCCCGAGAAAUUCAUCUAGAGUAUUUAUAACCAUAUAAGCUUUAUGAUUGAUUGAUUUAUAAAAUUUUGGAACAAAGGACACCCCAGAUUGGGUUAAACAUAAGGUUGUGGUCUCACUUGACUUUGCAAAGCCUAGACCGAGCCAUGUCAAGUGCAUCAUAAUCUCCUAGUACUAGCUAGUUACUUGGGCAGAGUUUACAGCAGCAGGCACGACUAGCUCACUGGACCAAAAGGUGCCCUGCUCACAAGUCACAGCAUGAUGCCUGGCUGACCGCCUGAUUCUACUCUCUGGACAUACCACCACUGCUUCAAAUGCCAAGAGCAUUUAUUGAUAAUGUACUAGGUCAGGACAUUUGACAUGGAGGCACUGAACUCUUUGUCCCUGCUAAUGAUUUGAGAUAUAUUCAUGCAGCAACAAUUUAUUCACCAUGCUACAAAGUACUCCUACAAACCAGUUUCCAUUGUCUGCAUUGCAUGGUAUGGCCAUGGACCUAUAUAUGGUCAGACUACACAAGACUAAAACUUAGCAAUUUCUGCUGUGAACACCAACUGGCCAUGGACCUAUGGGGAGACUGUAGGAAGCCAAUGUUUGACCCAACAGACCAGCUCUACUCUGGUCACAUACGCCUUUCAGAAACCACAUGGUGUGGUAUGAGCUAAGUAGCACACAACACAAGACCAUGUAAGCAUGUCGUAGCAGCACAAUGAAAAAUAAAAACAUGCAUGACGAGAGAAAGGAGUUUAAAUCUAAACAGGAAAGACAACAUACAUGGUUGGCCCACGGUGUUGUAGAUCAACGUCCAGGCAUCAGGGCACCACUGCUCGAACUUGCGCAAAACAGCACUUUGGCUACCCCCAAGGUGCGUCUGCAGUUAACCAAAUGGUUAAUCAAUAUUAACACCUUGUUUGGCAUGCAAGCUAGAUGGAGAAUUAGUUACCUUAAUGUAGCGAGGGUACGUGGAGAAAUGCUUCCAUAGGUUCCUCACGAGCCUGACAAGAUCAUUUGGAUAGUCAAUAUCACAGUUCCAUAUGUAUUCCCUGAUCUUGUUGGCCGCAGCUCUACCCUCGGCUCCUUGAAGUUUCAGCUCCGCCUUCCUUUUGUUGUUCUCUAUGUUCGCUCUUUCCAUCAUUUCUUUUAAUGUUUUCAGCUCCUGACACAUGUCAUCUUCAGACUCAUUUCUUGGCCAUCUUAUUCCACAAGCAUUAAGAGCCGCACUACAAUCUCGAGUUGAUGAGAAUAUGUCAAUGAGAUACUUGCUCUUGUCUUCAUCAUUCCACUCAAUGGGAUAAAACUUGGCAAGUUUUGCCAAAUUUUUGCCAAUGCAGUCAGGACCAUGUUUCUCAAUGAAAUCACAGUACGCCCUGGUCCCUGUGUGCAUUUGUAUCAAAACGUCGGCUGCAAUAAUUUUCUUUAUCUCCGCACAUAGUUUCACAUAUAGUUUUUCCGUAUACGUUUGAGCCUUACCCCUGAGAUCCUCAACUGCGAAUUAGGGGAGUUGGUGAAUCAGACAGAUGUGGCCAGGAGCGAUAAAUUAAAUUAGACAAUAACAAGUUGAUAUUAAGAAACACUCUUAGCGGAUAAUUUUGUAUGCAACCUAUAAAAAAACAUAAAGGUCGCAUAUGUUAAUGUUGAAGUUUUAAAAUUUUGGGUGCACAUACUUGUAUCCAUCAUCUACAUGCAAGAUUAAUUUUCCUAUAUUUCCGGAACUUAAAAAUGUCUUACUUUUCCAAAAAGAAAAUCCUAUCUGAUUCAGAUGGUCCUACGAACAUAUGCACAUUUUCGUGUAAGCAAAUAUGCAACAUUAUAUCUAAAUUAAAAUAUGCUUAUAAAUAACCUCCACAAAACAAAAUUUUGCACAACAUAACCCAAUAUUUUUUCAUUUGUAGAAUAAAAUUAUAGUGUUUGUAUAGAUUUUAGAGACGCACUAUCUUAGGAGAGUGCAAAAAAGAAAUUACCAUCAUCGAAGAAUACUUUAAGUUGAGGUUGACCAUUCACAGUCUUCAGAUAUAGGUUGUCAACUGUAAGGUCUUUCGGACACAUCUUACGUCUAAUCAUCUUGUCCAAGAUAUCAAGUAGAUCUCUGUGAAACAGUAUCUCAGUUAGUGUGCAGUGGAAGUAAAAACAUUAUAUUAGUUAUUGUGCAGUGGAAAUAAAAUAUUAGUACAAACUAGCAGAUCGCCGGUGCGUUACUCCGAAAUUUCUUCGUUCUUGCAUGCAUUGUCUAAAUGAUUGUGUCGUUGGUACUUAUUUUUUUCUCAAAAAGAAUAAUCCCAAAUUUUGGGCAAAAGAGAAUAUAUUCCAAAAUAUAGGAUCAAUUAAUCAUAAGAUUGUGAUAUAUAUGUCUAUUAUAUAGGUUGGAUAGUGAUCACAAUAAUUACCAGUGAUUUAAAGCAUAAUAAAAGGUGAUUAUAUACAUGUGUAACGUGGUCCAUUCUACAACCACCCCUUGAGAAUUGUAGAUGAAAUAUUCUACAACCAACCCUCCUAGAUCAGCCAAACCCACUCGAAAGUAACAACUACUGCAGGAGCAAACCCCACCGCCCUAAACUAAAAGAAAAAACGCCGCACUAGACCCAUCUUCCCAGCAUUGUGCCCCUAUCACCCCAAGGCCACCGCGCCGCCACACCCUCCCCUCCCCAUCACACCUCAUCGCCAUAGUUUUGCAUCAGCCCUAUCUACCCUCCAAUCCAAUCCACCUUCCCGUGCAGCCACAUAGGAACCGCGCCGCCGCCACACCUAGCCUCGACCAGCCACCCCGCGCCGCCACCUUCUCCUCGGUCAAAGGCAGCCAACGAUGUUCGUCUACGGCACUGCUUCAGCUAGAGGAGGUCUUCCACCUUGGUACGGUCAGAAAGGUCCAUUAGGCGAGUCCCCCUCCUCUGCUCUCCUCGGCAGGCUGGUGAUCAUCAAGCACACGGACGCCCAUGCACAACUUUUAAAUUCGCUCCACACACGAUGACGUCCCCUAACUGAUGUCCAUGGCCACAGCUAGCAGGGCGGAGUGUGGAGCAGGAUCACUCUCCUACCACAUGUUGCAACACCCACCAUCUACAAUGAGAAUGCUCCGCAGAUUGUCGAUGUUUGAUUUUCUAUCCCUGUUUAUUUUUGUGUAGUUUCUGCUUUGCGAGAAGUUCGCAUAUUUUGUUGCAGGAGGUCUGCUAGUUGCCUCGUGAUGGUUCAUUUUUUGCCAAGCCAAUUUGCUGGUUCACCUCCAAGGCUCCACCCCCAUCCCGCGGCAGUUGACACGUGGACAGUUAGUUCUCAACCCUGUCGUCAUAUCAUUAGCGACAUUCCACACAUUUGGAAAUAAAAACAUUCGUCAAAGAGUUGCAAAAAUUAGUGAUAUAGAUGAGAAGUUAAUUUCUCCGCUUGUGGGAAGCUUGUCGUUUGUCAAGAAGUUCACUUCCUCACACAAGGAGUACUUAUGAAUCGGGAAGUUCUGUUCGUUCGUUCGGGAAGUUCACAAAAAUGUUGGGAAAAAUAUUUUUUGUUCGGCAAUUCACGUUGUUCAUGCUGAAGUUGGCCUUAUACUAUGUGAGAAGUUAGUUAACUUUCGGCAAUCUAGUUAUUCGUAGGGACAGUUCACAUGUUCAUUGGGGGUUCGCCCAAAAAUAACACUCGAAUCUAACCAUUUUUUAAACUUCUCUUAAAUCACAAGGAAUUUGAAUGAAGUGUUCCAUACAAAAAGAAAAGUUACAUCUAGUAAAUAUCUUUCCAACGGUAUUUUGUUUGCAUCAUUUCGAUAAGUGGUUUGAACAUUUUGAUAAAAAUGCGCUCCAUGUCAUUUGAUAUGAAUUGCACAAUUUUUAGAACUGCUCUUGAACCUUAAAUUUUGAAAAAUAUGCUGCAUGAAAAAGUUGCGCCUAAUCAAUAUCUUUCUAACGGUAUUCACUUGCAUAAUUCCAAAAUAUGGUUUGAAAAUUUCUUGUGAAACAGAAACAAAGGGCUGGUUGUACAACAACCAGUUGUAUAUAGAUGGAAUGGUUUGUGGGAAUGACAUAAAUGAUAUAACAUUGGGAAUAAAUCGAUUAGGCGCAAUUUUCAUGUAGAAUGUUUUUUCAAAUUCGUUACGGCCUAAUAGCAGUUUGAAAACUGUGUCAUGCCACUAAACUGUGUGCCUCACAUCGCUAUUGUUGCCUCCCUUUGCGCCAUGCAGGUUCCGCUCCGCAUAUGGAUGAGGUGAGAUGGAUGAUGGCAUAUGCUGGUUCGGUGGGUUUCUAGUUGUAGAGUAUGUCUAAAGAAUGGUUGUAGAAUAUAUCCAGCCCAUCUAUAUAUAAUAGUUACGGUAACGAUUCUUAGUAAUUUAAGACAUAAAUACCCACUAUAUAUAGCAGUAUAUAUGUUUUAGAUAAUAAUACGCCAAUUGUAAGUAAUUCAAAACAUAGUAACGAUCGAAGUGAAUGGACCGUCGCCAACCCAGAUCCUAUUAUAAGAUUGAAGGUGUGAUUCUGCUGAAAAUACUUACAGUGUGAUUCUGCUGAAAACAGGGGUGAAUUUUCCAUCCAUAUUUAAAAUCCUGUUCUCUUCAAUCUUGUUCUUUUCACCAUGCUUGAGCCAUCCAUUUAAGGUACCAUCAAA
RNAcentral lists this long non-coding RNA (5525 nucleotides) under Triticum aestivum (bread wheat). RNAcentral describes it as "long non-coding RNA (TAES_LNC000927)". Lineage: Eukaryota; Viridiplantae; Streptophyta; Magnoliopsida; Poales; Poaceae. The record is from RNAcentral.